RNAcentral lists this ribosomal RNA (1299 nucleotides) under human gut metagenome. Its description in RNAcentral is "bacterial LSU rRNA". It matches the Rfam family "Bacterial large subunit ribosomal RNA", at positions 1127 to 2438 of the family's 2925-position model. The record is from RNAcentral.
AGAGUGCGUAACAGCUCACUAGUCGAGGAGUCGGGCGUGGAUAAUAAUCGGGUAUUAAGUUGUCUACCGAAGCAGUGGGAUCAUUAAUAUGAUCGGUAGGGGAGCAUUCCAGUCAGCGUCGAAGGCGUACCGUGAGGUAUUCUGGAGCGUCUGGAAAAGCAAAUGUAGGUAUAAGUAACGAUAAAGGGGGCGGGAAACCCCCUCGCCGAAAGACUAAGGUUUCCUGAUCAACGCUAAUCGGAUCAGGGUCAGUCGGGUCCUAAGGCUCAGCCGAACGGCGAUGCCGAUGGCAGAAACGGUUAAUAUUCCGUUACUACCUUCAGGAGUGACGUGGAGACGCAGUAGUGACAGUGCCGCCAUCUGACGGAAUAGAUGGUUGAAGGGUGUAGGAGUCGAUCAUGGCAGGCAAAUCCACCAUGAGAUCCGAACCUGAUAGUAUGCCGCGUCCUUCGGGACAAGGCAAUAGUGCGCGUAAGCAUGCUGCCGAGAAAAUCCGCUAAACUUAAUCCUGCAGGUACCCGUACCGCAAACGGACACACGUAGUCGGGAUGAAUAUUCUAAGGCGCUUGAGUGAUUCACGGUUAAGGAACUAGGCAAACUGACCCUGUAACUUCGGGAUAAAGGGUCCCUACCCUUUUAUGGGAGGGCGCAGAGAAUCGGUCCAGGCAACUGUUUAACAAAAACACAGGGCUGUGCCAAAUCGAAAGAUCCAGUAUACAGCCUGACACCUGCCCGGUGCUGGAAGGUUAAGAGGAGAUGUCAUCGAUAAGAGAAGCGUUGAAUUGAAGCCCCAGUAAACGGCGGCCGUAACUAUAACGGUCCUAAGGUAGCGAAAUUCCUUGUCGGGUAAGUUCCGACCUGCACGAAUGGUGUAAUGAUCUGGACGCUGUCUCAACCGUGAGCUCAGUGAAAUUGUAGUAUCGGUGAAGAUGCCGAUUACCCGCGAUGGGACGAAAAGACCCCGUGAACCUUUACUAUAGCUUAUCAUUGAAUCUGGGCACGUGAUGUGUAGGAUAGGUCGGAGGCUUUGAAGCAGGUACGCCAGUAUUUGUGGAGCCGCUGUUGAAAUACGACCCUUUAUUUGUUUGGAUUCUAACCCGUGGAUACGGGGACAUUGAUUGGUGGGUAGUUUGACUGGGGUGGUCGCCUCCAAAAGCGUAACGGAGGCUUCUAAAGGUGCCCUCCGGCCGAUUGGUAACCGGCCUUAGAGUGUAAUGGCAUAAGGGCGCUUGACUGGGAGACUGACAAGUCGAUCAGGUAGGAAACUAGAGCAUAGUGAUCCGGUGUUUCCGUAUGGAA